This 273-nucleotide ribosomal RNA is filed under the name Cephalotes atratus. RNAcentral's name for it is "partial 28S ribosomal RNA". Lineage: Eukaryota; Metazoa; Arthropoda; Insecta; Hymenoptera; Formicidae. The record is from RNAcentral.
CUGGCGCGUCGUCNGUAAAACGGCACGCGUCAAACCCCCGGUCGCCCGGCCGGCUGCCCNGCGGUACACGCAAGGUAUCAGGCCGCNGCGUUGCUCUCUCGAGGGCAACGCGNNANGCGUCGAGNNCGUNGCAAGCGCGCGNCNCGGUACACGGAGGCUCAACGGACCUAGUGCCGUCACCGGUCCUGGCCCGCUGUUGGUCGCACGGUUAACCUUCGACAGGCCUACGAACGUCCCCGUGUCUCGCCCCUCUCCGGGGGCGGCGCGGGGAUC